CCUACGGGAGGCUGCAGUGAGGAAUAUUGGUCAAUGGCCGCAGGGCUGAACCAGCCAAGUCGCGUGAGGGAUGACGGUCCUAUGGAUUGUAAACCUCUUUUGUCAGGGAGCAAAGGGCGCCACGUGUGGCGCUUUGCGAGUACCUGAAGAAAAAGCAUCGGCUAACUCCGUGCCAGCAGCCGCGGUAAUACGGAGGAUGCGAGCGUUAUCCGGAUUUAUUGGGUUUAAAGGGUGCGCAGGCGGAAUGUCAAGUCAGCGGUAAAAUUUCGGGGCUCAACCCCGUCGUGCCGUUGAAACUGGCGUUCUUGAGUGAGCGAGAAGUAUGCGGAAUGCGUGGUGUAGCGGUGAAAUGCUUAGAUAUCACGCAGAACUCCGAUUGCGAAGGCAGCAUACCGGCGCGCAACUGACGCUCAUGCACGAAAGCGUGGGUAUCGAACAGGAUUAGAUACCCCAGUAGUC
This 459-nucleotide ribosomal RNA is filed under the name uncultured bacterium. Its description in RNAcentral is "partial 16S ribosomal RNA". It matches the Rfam family "Bacterial small subunit ribosomal RNA", at positions 338 to 795 of the family's 1533-position model. The record is from RNAcentral.